UGAGUAUUACAUCAGGUACUG
This 21-nucleotide non-coding RNA is filed under the name Tribolium castaneum (red flour beetle). Its record names the gene tca-miR-12-5p. Lineage: Eukaryota; Metazoa; Arthropoda; Insecta; Coleoptera; Tenebrionidae. RNAcentral also lists the same sequence under 5 other names. The record is from miRBase by way of RNAcentral.